This 253-nucleotide ribosomal RNA is filed under the name uncultured bacterium. RNAcentral's name for it is "partial 16S ribosomal RNA". It matches the Rfam family "Bacterial small subunit ribosomal RNA", at positions 524 to 776 of the family's 1533-position model. The record is from RNAcentral.
UACGUAGGGUGCAAGCGUUGUCCGGAAUUAUUGGGCGUAAAGAGCUCGUAGGCGGCUUGUCGCGUCGGCUGUGAAAACCUGGGGCUCAACCCCGGGCCUGCAGCCGAUACGGGCAAGCUAGAAUUCGGUAGGGGAGACUGAAAUUCCUGGUGUAGCGGUGAAAUGCGCAGAUAUCAGGAGGAACACCGGUGGCGAAGGCGGGUCUCUGGGCCGAUAUUGACGCUGAGGAGCGAAAGCGUGGGGAGCGAACAGG